CAUAGCGACUAUCGUGGCAUAUCAAUAAGCGGAGGAAAAGAAACUAACAAGGAUUCCCCUAGUAACGGCGAGUGAAGCGGGAAGAGCUCAAAUUUGAAAUCUUAAAGGGUUUCCCUUUACGAAUUGUAGUUUAAAGAAGUGUUUUCUGUUGGAGUUUCGGUAAAAGUUCUUUGGAAGUAGGACAUCAUAGAGGGUGAGAAUCCCGUAUUUGACCGUUACUUUCCAGCUGUGUGAUACACUUUCAAAGAGUCGGAUUGUUUGGGAAUGCAGUCCAAAAUGGGUGGUAAAUUUCAUCUAAAGCUAAAUAUUGGCGAGAGACCGAUAGCGAACAAGUACCGUGAGGGAAAGAUGAAAAGAACUUUGAAAAGAGAGUUAAACAGUACGUGAAAUUGUCAAAAGGGAAGCGUUUGACACCAGUGUUGUUUAGUUGAAAAUCAAUUCAAUAGUUUUUGAUUUUAAGUAGUAUUGACUUCAUCAGCUUACUGCUUUCUUUUCAGAAAUUAUUGAAUGCACUUUUCAGUUAACAAGUCAACAUCAAUUUCUUUUGUUGUAAAAGGGUAAGAGGAAGGUGGCUUACGCUUCGGCGUAAGUGUUUAUAGCCUUUUACCUCUGCAAUCGGAGAGAUUGAGGACAGCAGCGUAGACUCCUUCGGGAGUUAGAUACACUUGUGCUAAGCUAUAGCCUUGUAUAGACAACUUGUUGACUAUGCUCAGUCAUGUAGCUUACUCGCUUGUGCUAUUUUACCUACGCUUAGGAUGUUGACGCGCGUGUGUGCGUG
Molecule: ribosomal RNA, 778 nt
Filed under: uncultured Neocallimastigales
Lineage: Eukaryota; Fungi; Neocallimastigomycota; Neocallimastigomycetes; Neocallimastigales
Description: partial large subunit ribosomal RNA
Rfam family: Eukaryotic large subunit ribosomal RNA
Source: RNAcentral